RNAcentral lists this ribosomal RNA (253 nucleotides) under uncultured bacterium. RNAcentral describes it as "partial 16S ribosomal RNA". It matches the Rfam family "Bacterial small subunit ribosomal RNA", at positions 524 to 776 of the family's 1533-position model. The record is from RNAcentral.
CACGUAGGGUGCGAGCGUUGUCCGGAAUUAUUGGGCGUAAAGAGCUCGUAGGCGGUGUGUCGCGUCGGCCGUGAAAACCUGCAGCUUAACUGUGGGCCUGCAUUCGAUACGGGCAGGCUAGAGUUCGGUAGGGGAGACUGGAAUUCCUGGUGUAGCGGUGAAAUGCGCAGAUAUCAGGAGGAACACCGAUGGCGAAGGCAGGUCUCUGGGCUGACACUGACGCUCAUGCACGAAAGCGUGGGGAGCAAACAGG